UUGGCUAUAUGAUCUUGAUGUGACUUAUUAUGGGAAAUCGAAUACUUAUGUGUUCACACACAAGGGGCAGAAGAUUACUUUAGUGCCUGUGAGACCACGAGUGUCUCCCAAGGGUCAACCAAAAGAAAAUAAUACGUCUACACAAGAAUCCAAAUAUCUCCAUGUCCUUAGUCAGAAGGCCUUUGAGAAAAGUGAGAGAGGAGAAGGAUGUGUG
RNAcentral lists this long non-coding RNA (214 nucleotides) under Panax ginseng (ginseng). RNAcentral's name for it is "long non-coding RNA (PGIN_LNC002529)". Lineage: Eukaryota; Viridiplantae; Streptophyta; Magnoliopsida; Apiales; Araliaceae. The record is from RNAcentral.